GUCCCGGGUGCCAAGCACUCUUGCCUAACUAUAGGAAGGCUCCAUCAUAGCUACAAAAGAUGGGCAGACAUAAUCUCAAUCACCAAAAGGCAAUAUUUAAGAGAGGACAGUGACCGACUUUUCCAUCACAGUUGGAGUAAAAGAAGAGUUGCAUGCUUAUUAACAGCCCAGUUUGACCUGCAGUUGGAACCUCGGACGUGGCAGGUCUGCAGACAGAUGGCUGAACACUCGGACUCUUUGAGAGGGAGUGUUCAUGUGUAAAAACCGAGCCUUCCCCAGAAAAGGAGAUCCUUCAGAGAGGUUUCCUGCCUGGAGAUGAGAACCUAACUGAGGUCUUGCUUGGCUCUGGUCACCUCCAUCUCGGUAAAGGAUAUCUUUUUCUGGGCCACCUCAACCUGAACCCUUUUGCUGGAACCUGAGACCACGUCAUCUUGACCUCUCUAAGGGCCAAAGCUGUGCCCACAACAAUUGCCUAUUAGGAACAUUGGAGCUUCUCUCAUCCAGGAACACCUGUCUGUGCCCCUUCCAUAGGGGUGGGCAUCAUCUACGAGACCAGGGCACCUCCAACCUCUGGAGAGACUCCAGCAACCACAUGGUCUUUUUCUCUCUGAACC
Canis lupus familiaris (dog) is the source of this 614-nucleotide long non-coding RNA. RefSeq lists it as uncharacterized. The record is from RefSeq and is a predicted model, not a curated record. Lineage: Eukaryota; Metazoa; Chordata; Mammalia; Carnivora; Canidae. The transcript is spliced from 3 exons.